UACGUAGGUGGCGAGCGUUGUCCGGAUUUACUGGGCGUAAAGGGAGCGUAGGCGGACUUUUAAGUGAGAUGUGAAAUACCCGGGCUCAACUUGGGUGCUGCAUUUCAAACUGGAAGUCUAGAGUGCAGGAGAGGAGAAUGGGAUUCCUAGUGUAGCGGUGAAAUGCGUAGAGAUUAGGAAGAACACCAGUGGCGAAGGCGAUUCUCUGGACUGUAACUGACGCUGAGGCUCGAAAGCGUGGGGAGCAAACAGGAUUAGAUA
This 261-nucleotide ribosomal RNA is filed under the name uncultured prokaryote. RNAcentral describes it as "partial 16S ribosomal RNA". It matches the Rfam family "Bacterial small subunit ribosomal RNA", at positions 524 to 784 of the family's 1533-position model. The record is from RNAcentral.